Molecule: ribosomal RNA, 255 nt
Filed under: uncultured bacterium
Lineage: Bacteria
Description: partial 16S ribosomal RNA
Rfam family: Bacterial small subunit ribosomal RNA
Source: RNAcentral
UACGUAGGGUGCGAGCGUUGUCCGGAAUUACUGGGCGUAAAGAGCUCGUAGGCGGUUUGUCGCGUCGUCUGUGAAAUUCUGCAACUCAAUUGUAGGCGUGCAGGCGAUACGGGCAGACUUGAGUACUACAGGGGGAGACUGGAAUUCCUGGUGUAGCGGUGAAAUGCGCAGAUAUCAGGAGGAACACCGGUGGCGAAGGCGGGGUCUCUGGGCAACAACUGACGCUGAGGAGCGAAAGCGUGGGGAGCGAACAGG